UGGGGAAUAUUGCACAAUGGGCGCAAGCCUGAUGCAGCCAUGCCGCGUGUGUGAAGAAGGCCUUCGGGUUGUAAAGCACUUUCAGCGAGGAGGAAGGUGGUGAACUUAAUACGUUCAUCAAUUGACGUUACUCGCAGAAGAAGCACCGGCUAACUCCGUGCCAGCAGCCGCGGUAAUACGGAGGGUGUAAGCGUUAAUCGGAAUUACUGGGCGUAAAGCGCACGCAGGCGGUUUGUUAAGUCAGAUGUGAAAUCCCCGGGCUCAACCUGGGAACUGCAUUUGAAACUGGCAAGCUAGAGUCUCGUAGAGGGGGGUAGAAUUCCAGGUGUAGCGGUGAAAUGCGUAGAGAUCUGGAGGAAUACCGGUGGCGAAGGCGGCCCCCUGGACGAAGACUGACGCUCAGGUGCGAAAGCGUGGGGAGCAAACAGGAUUAGAUACCCUGGUAGUCCACGCUGUAAACGAUGUCGAUUUUGGAGGUUGUGCCCUUGAGGCGUGGCUUCCGGAGCUAACGCGUUAAAUCGACCGCCUGGGGAGUACGGCCGCAAGGUU
This 549-nucleotide ribosomal RNA is filed under the name uncultured bacterium. RNAcentral's name for it is "partial 16S ribosomal RNA". It matches the Rfam family "Bacterial small subunit ribosomal RNA", at positions 355 to 895 of the family's 1533-position model. The record is from RNAcentral.